Molecule: long non-coding RNA, 674 nt
Organism: Limulus polyphemus (Atlantic horseshoe crab)
Lineage: Eukaryota; Metazoa; Arthropoda; Merostomata; Xiphosura; Limulidae
Exons: 3
Source: RefSeq, a predicted model, not a curated record
UGAAAGAAAGUGACAUGAGUGACUAGUAACUUUAUAUUUACCAUCCUGUAUAGGUUAUGCGUGUGAACUGUAAAUGUUUUAAUUCAUUAUAUUAGUUUAAAGGUAGCCAGGUCUAACUGUUUAAGUAUAUGCCGAAUCGGAGCAGUGAAACUUCACCUUGAAGUUGAACUCGAACUUCGAAGACAUUGCCCUUGACCACAUUGUCAAUGCCAGUGUGACACUGACAGUCACUGAGCUUUAAAAAAGUUGAACUUAACUGUUAACUUAUUUGUAAUUUAGAACAGUUUCUUAUGUUGCUGGGACAAGUACGUCUACUGUGACGGUGUAGGAAUGUUCUUCUAAUACCAGCAGUGAGGCCUACGAGUUGUAUGUUUUUUACGGUGGCACCUUGUGCUUGGAUUAUAUCUAUCAGCAGUUAUAUGUUUGCCGAUGUGAAAAGUAAACAACGAGAACAGAUGCUACUAUAACUUCACCUUAAAAGAGCAUAACAAUGCCACCACCACCUUCUCUACCUCCUCCCCCACUGCCUGCACAUUUUUCAUCUCAACAAUCUUCAAAGCUGUCACAGACAGAAAAUCAGCAACAACCUAACCGCAAUGCCCUCUUAAGUGAGAUCAGACGAGGGGCAAGGUUAAAGAAAGCUGAAACCAGUGACAGAAGUGUUCCUGUUAUUG